RNAcentral lists this ribosomal RNA (518 nucleotides) under uncultured bacterium. RNAcentral describes it as "bacterial LSU rRNA". It matches the Rfam family "Bacterial large subunit ribosomal RNA", at positions 597 to 1112 of the family's 2925-position model. The record is from RNAcentral.
CCGCGUACCUUUUGCAUCAUGAGCCAACGAGUUACGGUGUGCGGCAAGGUUAAGUCGAGAGACGAAGCCGAAGCGAAAGCGAGUCUGAAUAGGGCGCAAAGUCGUACGCUGUAGACCCGAAACCCUGCGAUCUAUCCAUGGGCAGGCUGAAGCGCGGGUAAGACUGCGUGGAGGGCCGAACUCACCACAGUUGAAAAUGUGGGAGAUGACCUGUGGAUAGGAGUGAAAGGCUAAUCAAGCUGGGAGAUAGCUGGUUCUCGCCGAAACAUAUUGAGGUAUGGGCUCGGUUCAUUUUGCACGGGGGGUAGAGCACUGUCAUGGCUAGGGGGUCAUCGCGACUUACCAAAACCAUAGCAAACUCCGAAUACCGAGAAGUGCGAGCGUGGGAGACAGACAUCGGGUGCUAACGUCCGGUGUCAAGAGGGAAACAACCCAGACCGCCAGCUAAGGUCCCAAAUGACGUGCUAAGUGGUAAACGAAGUGGGAAGGCAUAGACAGCCAGGAUGUUGGCUUAGAAG